AUGAGCGUGGGCGUGUCCAUCCCGCGUCCUCACUACCGCCACAGCUUCUCCAGGAGGCUCGCCCACCGUGCUGCAAAGCAGCAGGCUCAGACCUGGAGGAGGAAGAGGAGAUCUGGGGGUCCAGGCAGUGGCUCGGUUGAUGCAAGGUUCAAACAGGAGAAGAAGAACUAUCUUGCCUGCCUGAAAUUGAUAGGAGCUCAGCCUGAAUGUCUGAUGUUCUUGAAGAAAUACUUGGAAUGUAGGAUGGAGAGAGAGAUAUCUCACCAGGAGAAGAAGUACUAUCUUGCCUGCCUGAAAUUGAUAGGAGCUCAACCUGAAUGUCGGGUGUUCUUGAAGAAAUACCUGGAAUGUAGGGGGGAGAGAUGGGAAGGAGGAUCCGACAAGUUAGCCCCCGCAAUUGUGUUGUUGGAGAACUUCUGCGAGCUUAGUAAAAUAAUGAAUCUUCAUCUCCCAUGUUUUCUCUCAAAAAUGGAGCGCGGAUCGCAGGAGCAAGGAGCUGUGUGGUACGGGCUUCUUGCCAAUGGACAUCCUAUUGCUUAUAUCCUAUCAGUAGCACCAUGCCUCCUUGUCGCCCUAUUUGUCAAAAGCAUGAGAUUUAUUUCAUUUGGUCCAACUGGUUCUGAUCAUAGCAAGCUACUACAUAAAAGCCAACCUAUAUCUUCAACCUUCUCUUGCAUAGGGCAGGCAGUGGUUCUUGGUUGCCUUCAAAAUACUCGACACCUCUUUAGGCCUUGUUUGGUAGAAGUGGAUUGGGGAGGGUUUGAGUGGAUUUUCCACGCGUGGCCCAGAACCCCCUGCGAUCAUCUUCGGUCCAUUUGGUGCACGAGGUUUCACUGGCCCAGUCCACCCGAUUCCCCUCCAAUUCACCCCAACCCACGUGGCUCAGAAGGCACGCCUAGGCCCUCGUGGAACUGGAUCCACGCCGAAGACCGUAGCCUCCUCCUUGCGCGGCCGCCUCCUCGAUGCGCCGGCGCCGGCCACAGCCCCCUCCUUGCGCUGCCGCCCGUAGCCUCCUCGCAACGCCAUCUGCAGCCUCCUCGCGAUGCCGUAUGCAGCCUCCUCGACGUGUCGCCACCGGCCACAGCCUCUUGA
Molecule: ribosomal RNA, 1092 nt
Filed under: Triticum aestivum (bread wheat)
Lineage: Eukaryota; Viridiplantae; Streptophyta; Magnoliopsida; Poales; Poaceae
Description: partial small subunit ribosomal RNA
Source: RNAcentral